RNAcentral lists this ribosomal RNA (279 nucleotides) under uncultured bacterium. RNAcentral describes it as "partial 16S ribosomal RNA". It matches the Rfam family "Bacterial small subunit ribosomal RNA", at positions 506 to 784 of the family's 1533-position model. The record is from RNAcentral.
UGCCAGCAGCCGCGGUAAUACGGAGGGGGCAAGCGUUGUUCGGAAUUACUGGGCGUAAAGGGCGCGCAGGCGGCGUUGUUAGUCAGGUGUGAAAUCCCCGGGCUCAACCUGGGAAUGGCACUUGAUACUGCAAUGCUAGAGUUCGGAAGAGGGUAGUGGAAUUCCCAGUGUAGAGGUGAAAUUCGUAGAUAUUGGGAAGAACACCAGUGGCGAAGGCGGCUACCUGGUCCGAUACUGACGCUGAGGCGCGAAAGCGUGGGGAGCAAACAGGAUUAGAUA